CGACGAAUCUUCCGCAAUGCACGAAAGUGUGACGGAGCAAUGCCGCGUGUGGGAUGAAUCGGCUUCGCCGUGUAAACCACUGUCAGGAGCUCGUAAUACUGAACAGCUCCAGAGGAAGGGCCGGCUAACCUCGUGCCAGCAGCCGCGGUAAUACGAGGGGCCCGAGCGUUAUUCAGAAUCACUGGGCUUAAAGGGAACGCAGGCUGGCUCGCAAGCAUCUCGUGAAAUCCCUCGGCUCAACCGAGGAAUUGCGGGGUGAACUGCGAGCCUUGAGGCGGGUAGAGGUCAUCGGAACGAUCGGUGGAGCGGUGAAAUGCGUAGAUAUCGAUCGGAACGCCAAAGGUGAAGACAGGUGACUGGGCCCGUUCUGACGCUCAUGUUCGAAAGCGUGGGGAGCAAACAGGAUUAGAUACCCCCGUAGUCC
This 424-nucleotide ribosomal RNA is filed under the name uncultured prokaryote. RNAcentral's name for it is "bacterial SSU rRNA". It matches the Rfam family "Bacterial small subunit ribosomal RNA", at positions 355 to 796 of the family's 1533-position model. The record is from RNAcentral.